RNAcentral lists this non-coding RNA (24 nucleotides) under Cricetulus griseus (Chinese hamster). RNAcentral also lists the same sequence under 1 other name. Lineage: Eukaryota; Metazoa; Chordata; Mammalia; Rodentia; Cricetidae. The record is from RNAcentral.
CAGAGCAGCUCCCUCGCUGCGAUC